GCGGGAAUAGCUCAGUUGGUAGAGCACGACCUUGCCAAGGUCGGGGUCGCGAG
This 53-nucleotide transfer RNA is filed under the name Escherichia coli. Its description in RNAcentral is "tRNA-Gly". It matches the Rfam family "tRNA", at positions 1 to 51 of the family's 71-position model. From Rfam's summary of the family: Transfer RNA (tRNA) molecules are approximately 80 nucleotides in length. Their secondary structure includes four short double-helical elements and three loops (D, anti-codon, and T loops). Lineage: Bacteria; Pseudomonadati; Pseudomonadota; Gammaproteobacteria; Enterobacterales; Enterobacteriaceae. RNAcentral also lists the same sequence under 4 other names. The record is from RNAcentral.